UACUGACGCUAAAGCUCGAAGGUGCGGGUAUCGAACAGGAUUAGAUACCCUGGUAGUCCGCACGGUAAACGAUGGAUGCCCGCUGUUUGCGAUAUACUGUGAGCGGCCAAGAGAAAUCGUUAAGCAUCCCACCUGGGGAGUACGCCGGCAACGGUGAAACUCAAAGGAAUUGACGGGGGCCCGCACAAGCGGAGGAACAUGUGGUUUAAUUCGAUGAUACGCGAGGAACCUUACCCGGGCUUGAACUGCAGGAGAACGAUUCAGAGAUGAUGAGGUCCUUCGGGACUCCUGUGGAGGUGCUGCAUGGUUGUCGUCAGCUCGUGCCGUGAGGUGUCGGCUUAAGUGCCAUAACGAGCGCAACCCCUUUCGUUAGUUGCCAUCAGGUGAUGCUGGGCACUCUGGCGAUACUGCCACCGUAAGGUGUGAGGAAGGUGGGGAUGACGUCAAAUCAGCACGGCCCUUACGUCCGGGGCUACACACGUGUUACAAUGGGUGGUACAGAGAGUGGGUCGUCUGCAAAUGCGAUCAAAUCCUAAAAGCCAUCCUCAGUUCGGAUUGGGGUCUGCAACCCGACCCCAUGAAGCUGGAUCGCUAGUAAUCG
RNAcentral lists this ribosomal RNA (601 nucleotides) under uncultured bacterium. RNAcentral's name for it is "bacterial SSU rRNA". It matches the Rfam family "Bacterial small subunit ribosomal RNA", at positions 738 to 1344 of the family's 1533-position model. The record is from RNAcentral.